GAUCAGUGGCUCGAGGACGAACGCUGGCGGCGUGCUUAACACAUGCAAGUCGAACGGUAAGGCCCUUCGGGGUACACGAGUGGCGAACGGGUGAGUAACACGUGGGUGAUCUGCCCUGCACUUCGGGAUAAGCCUGGGAAACUGGGUCUAAUACCGGAUAGGACUCCUGGCUUCAUGGUUGGGGGUGUAAAGCUUUUGCGGUGUGGGAUGGGCCCGCGGCCUAUCAGCUUGUUGGUGGGGUAAUGGCCUACCAAGGCGACGACGGGUAGCCGGCCUGAGAGGGUGACCGGCCACACUGGGACUGAGAUACGGCCCAGACUCCUACGGGAGGCAGCAGUGGGGAAUAUUGCACAAUGGGCGCAAGCCUGAUGCAGCGACGCCGCGUGAGGGAUGACGGCCUUCGGGUUGUAAACCUCUUUCAAUAGGGACGAAGCGCAAGUGACGGUACCUAUAGAAGAAGGACCGGCCAACUACAUG
This 477-nucleotide ribosomal RNA is filed under the name uncultured bacterium. RNAcentral describes it as "bacterial SSU rRNA". It matches the Rfam family "Bacterial small subunit ribosomal RNA", at positions 26 to 507 of the family's 1533-position model. The record is from RNAcentral.